This 82-nucleotide transfer RNA is filed under the name Prionitis angusta. RNAcentral's name for it is "Grateloupia angusta tRNA-Leu". It matches the Rfam family "tRNA". From Rfam's summary of the family: Transfer RNA (tRNA) molecules are approximately 80 nucleotides in length. Their secondary structure includes four short double-helical elements and three loops (D, anti-codon, and T loops). Lineage: Eukaryota; Rhodophyta; Florideophyceae; Halymeniales; Halymeniaceae. The record is from RNAcentral.
ACGGAUAUGAUGAAAUUGGUAGACGUGUUAGGUUUAGAUUCUAAUGAUACAAAUCGUGAGGGUUCGAGUCCCUCUAUCCGUA